UACGGGGGGGGCAAGCGUUGUUCGGAAUUACUGGGCGUAAAGGGUGCGUAGGCGGUUCGUUAAGUUAGAUGUGAAAACUCUGGGCUCAACCCAGAGCCUGCAUCUAAUACUGACGGGCUAGAGUUCUGGAGGGGGUAGCGGAAUUCCUGGUGUAGCGGUGAAAUGCGUAGAUAUCAGGAGGAACACCGGUGGCGAAGGCGGCUACCUGGACAGAAACUGACGCUGAGGCACGAAAGCUAGGGGAGCAAACAGG
RNAcentral lists this ribosomal RNA (253 nucleotides) under uncultured bacterium. Its description in RNAcentral is "partial 16S ribosomal RNA". It matches the Rfam family "Bacterial small subunit ribosomal RNA", at positions 524 to 776 of the family's 1533-position model. The record is from RNAcentral.